Molecule: ribosomal RNA, 868 nt
Filed under: Limosilactobacillus reuteri
Lineage: Bacteria; Bacillati; Bacillota; Bacilli; Lactobacillales; Lactobacillaceae
Description: bacterial SSU rRNA
Rfam family: Bacterial small subunit ribosomal RNA
Source: RNAcentral
GGGCGCAAGCCUGAUGGAGCAACACCGCGUGAGUGAAGAAGGGUUUCGGCUCGUAAAGCUCUGUUGUUGGAGAAGAACGUGCGUGAGAGUAACUGUUCACGCAGUGACGGUAUCCAACCAGAAAGUCACGGCUAACUACGUGCCAGCAGCCGCGGUAAUACGUAGGUGGCAAGCGUUAUCCGGAUUUAUUGGGCGUAAAGCGAGCGCAGGCGGUUGCUUAGGUCUGAUGUGAAAGCCUUCGGCUUAACCGAAGAAGUGCAUCGGAAACCGGGCGACUUGAGUGCAGAAGAGGACAGUGGAACUCCAUGUGUAGCGGUGGAAUGCGUAGAUAUAUGGAAGAACACCAGUGGCGAAGGCGGCUGUCUGGUCUGCAACUGACGCUGAGGCUCGAAAGCAUGGGUAGCGAACAGGAUUAGAUACCCUGGUAGUCCAUGCCGUAAACGAUGAGUGCUAGGUGUUGGAGGGUUUCCGCCCUUCAGUGCCGGAGCUAACGCAUUAAGCACUCCGCCUGGGGAGUACGACCGCAAGGUUGAAACUCAAAGGAAUUGACGGGGGCCCGCACAAGCGGUGGAGCAUGUGGUUUAAUUCGAAGCUACGCGAAGAACCUUACCAGGUCUUGACAUCUUGCGCUAACCUUAGAGAUAAGGCGUUCCCUUCGGGGACGCAAUGACAGGUGGUGCAUGGUCGUCGUCAGCUCGUGUCGUGAGAUGUUGGGUUAAGUCCCGCAACGAGCGCAACCCUUGUUACUAGUUGCCAGCAUUAAGUUGGGCACUCUAGUGAGACUGCCGGUGACAAACCGGAGGAAGGUGGGGACGACGUCAGAUCAUCAUGCCCCUUAUGACCUGGGCUACACACGUGCUACAAUGGA